RNAcentral lists this unclassified non-coding RNA (306 nucleotides) under Stropharia sp. RNAcentral's name for it is "partial contains 5.8S ribosomal RNA, internal transcribed spacer 2, and large subunit ribosomal RNA". Lineage: Eukaryota; Fungi; Basidiomycota; Agaricomycetes; Agaricales; Strophariaceae. The record is from RNAcentral.
CGCACCUUGCGCUCCUUGGUAUUCCGAGGAGUAUGCCUAUUUGAGUGUCAUUAAAUUAUCAAGCUUUAUUAACUUUUUGUUGGUAAAUUGCUUGGAAGUGGGAGUGUGCUGGUUUCUCUAUUGAAAUCAGCUCUCCUGAAAUGCAUUAGCUAGUCGCUUUGUGUAAACUAGUCUAUUGGUGUGAUAAUAUUUACGUCGUAGACUGUUUACUACUCUUCAGCACUGCUUCUAAUUGUCUAUUUGACUUGGACAAUUUAUUUAUGAUAAUUUGACCUCAAAUUAGGUAGGACUACCCGCUGAACUUAA